Non-coding RNA from Ictalurus punctatus (channel catfish), 536 nucleotides. The record is from the annotation of a RefSeq genome assembly. Lineage: Eukaryota; Metazoa; Chordata; Actinopteri; Siluriformes; Ictaluridae.
AACUUAAAUGGCUAUUCCUCUGUGAAUCUUUUAAUGUCUCUAGUGGGUGUGCCAUGCAAAUGAUAUCCUGCAUUGAACCAUUUAUGCAGUUAUAUACGUUCAGCUCAACAACAUACCAGCAGUUUGUGUUCAUUAAUAGCAAAAGUUACCUUGAGAUGGGACUAGGCAGAGUUUUGAGUUACAUUGCUCUAGCAAUGUUCAUUCAAUAUUCCUGCAGUCAGACACUGAUCGAGUCCGAUUCAGUGAUCAUCAAACCUGAUCAGUCUCAUAAACUGACCUGCACAGCGUCUGGAUUUAACUUUGGUGGCUCUUGGAUGGCUUGGAUCAGACAGGCACCUGGAAAAGGGCUGGAAUGGGUUGCAACUAUCACAGACACCAGUGGUAGCAAGUAUUACUCCAGUGCAGUUAAUGGCCGCUUCACCAUGUCCAGAGACAACAGUAAGAUGCAGGUGUAUCUGCACAUGACCAGUGUGAGGACAGAAGACACUGCAGUGUAUUACUGCACUAGAGAAGCACAGUGACACAUGAGGUUGCAG